This 241-nucleotide ribosomal RNA is filed under the name uncultured bacterium. RNAcentral's name for it is "partial 16S ribosomal RNA". It matches the Rfam family "Bacterial small subunit ribosomal RNA", at positions 96 to 334 of the family's 1533-position model. The record is from RNAcentral.
CGGCGAACGGUCGCGUAACACGUAAGCAACCUGCCCCGAAGACCGGGACAACAGUGGGAAACCGCUGCUAAUACCGGAUGUGGCCAUUGGGGGACAUCCCCUAAUGAUUAAAUCGAGCAAUCGGCUUCGGGAGGGGCUUGCGGCCUAUCAGCUAGUUGGUGGGGUAACGGCCUACCAAGGCGACGACGGGUAGCUGGUCUGAGAGGACGGCCAGCCGGACUGGGACUGAGAUACGGCCCAG